ACCCUCCAGUUCCCUUUCCCAUCGGAUGGAAACACUGGUCUGGGUGGUCAUGAAAGGAGGGGAAAGAACAUUGAAGCUGGCCCUCAGUGCUCUUGGAGCUCGGCUAGUUUCAAACAGGG
Echinops telfairi (small Madagascar hedgehog) is the source of this 119-nucleotide small nucleolar RNA. NCBI's taxonomy places the organism in Eukaryota, Metazoa, Chordata, Mammalia, Afrosoricida, Tenrecidae. The record is from Ensembl.